AGCUAUGCUGAUCACUCAAGCAUUGGUGAGACAUAAAUUGGAGUUCAUACCCUGUGGGGAAAGUAACAACCUCCAAUGUUAAAAAUAAACAAGAAGAUGCUGAUAAUAGUAAUGGACUUAUGCAAUAAAGCAGCCAUGCAGAUCACUCAAGGAUUGGUGAGACAUAAAUUGGACUUCAUACCAUGUGGGGAAAGUAAUAACCUCCAAUGUUAAAAAUAAACAAGAAAAUGCUGAUAAUAGUAAUGGACUUAUGCAAUAAAAUAGCUAUGCUGAUCACUCAAGCAUUGGUGAGACAUAAAUUGGAGUUCAUACCCUGUGGGGAAAGUAACAACCUCCAAUGUUAAAAAUAAACAAGAAGAUGCUGAUAAUAGUAAUGGAC
Molecule: long non-coding RNA, 379 nt
Organism: Rhopalosiphum maidis (corn leaf aphid)
Lineage: Eukaryota; Metazoa; Arthropoda; Insecta; Hemiptera; Aphididae
Exons: 3
Source: RefSeq, a predicted model, not a curated record